UUUUGUUGAUUGAACUAAAAACUGCACCAAUUACUGUCUAUAUUACCCAUUCCUUUGAGAUAAUUGGAGUACUUAGUUGUGGGUGUUACAAGAUGAAUCACCUUACAUACUCCCCCAUCUCCUCCUCAUACUUAUCUUCUCAGGAUUAGCAUGUGAUUAUGUAGUAAAAGGAGGAGCUUGAGCCAAUGGGGCAAGGAUCCCAGAACACUGGUGCCAGAAGAUGAUUCGUUUAAACAAAUGUGAGUCACAGAAAUGUUAUGAGGAGUGCUCUAAAGAACAAUAUGGCGGUGGAUAUUGCAAGGGUGCCACUUGCCUCUGCACAUACUAUUGUAAAGAUCCCCCACUCUACUAAUUACCAAUCCUUCUUUCUCUUAUGCAGUUCUGCUUCUUCCCCCUACUAUGGAACGUUUUUACUACUACAUGGUUUACCAACUUUCUGCCGUAUGAGCAAUUCAAAUUAAACAAGAAAUAAUUAUGAGCAAUGGCAAUGCUAUAUAUAUUGCUAGGAUUUAAUUUCUAAGUUUUUCUUUUAUUAUACUAUUAUUAUAUCAAUAAAAAUGGUUAAUUUUCACA
Molecule: long non-coding RNA, 573 nt
Organism: Arachis duranensis
Lineage: Eukaryota; Viridiplantae; Streptophyta; Magnoliopsida; Fabales; Fabaceae
Exons: 2
Source: RefSeq, a predicted model, not a curated record